AUCUUCUUAGUAUAACUAAUAUUAAUGACUUCCAAUCAUUAGAUCUAAGAGAAAUUUUAGAGAAGAUA
RNAcentral lists this transfer RNA (68 nucleotides) under Indotyphlus maharashtraensis. RNAcentral describes it as "tRNA-Gly". Lineage: Eukaryota; Metazoa; Chordata; Amphibia; Gymnophiona; Indotyphlidae. The record is from RNAcentral.